AAAGGAUUUAGUAUUAUUUACAAGAAUAAUAAGAAUAUAAUAAUAUUAAUACGAGUCGGUUGUGUUAAUUUCGGAUUUAUAAAGGUUAAACCGAGUUCACCCGAUCUAGAGUUACCACUUUUAGAAGGUUAUAAAAAGGGAAGCAAGAGGAGAAAUUUCAGAAAACCCUAAGUUUCCUUUCUCCUUCAGCCGUCAUCCCCCUUUCUUCUUCUCUCUCAAUUUCUCUCUCCUCUCUCGCACUGUUCUUCCUCAUCUCCCUCUCUCUCGCUGUUCGUCUCUCUCUUCGUCUCCCUCGCUGGGUUCUUCGCGGAUCCUUGUCGAGGUGUGCGAGUGAAGGGAGCGGGUGUGUGCAAGCGAACGUGCUGGUGUGUGGGUGAGCGAGCGAGUCCGUGUGUUCGAGGGACGUGCGAGGGCUGCGAGCGACGAAGCUGGUGCGAGGCUCGGGUGCGAGCAAAGGAGCGAGCAGGAGGGGCAUAGUGCGACGAAGCUCGAAGUGCGAGUCGAGUGGUUCGAGUGUUGAGCAAGCAGGAGGGGCUUAGUGCGACGAAGCUCGAAGUGCGAGUCGAGUGGUUCGAGUGUUGAGCGAGGGACGACGAAGCCUUGCGCAAGGCUGCUGCUGUGCGAGUUGUGCGAGUUGUGCGACGAAGCUCGAAACGUGCGCUGCUGCUGCUGUGCAAGUGGUGCGACGAAGUUGUUGCGCCGUUGCCGGAAAUCGGUCGCCGGAAAUUGAUUGCCGGCGAGCUUAACGGUCCCAAUUUCAUAAGCGGAACGUUCGAUUAAGACAGCGAAAAUUCUCCGUUACAAGACUAGGUGUGCUGGUGCUGCUGCAUAAUCUCGAGCAUACGGGGACUAGGCUUGGGUAUUUACAUUUAAAGCAUUUUGAAAUAAGUAUUAUUGGUUUUUCUAAGACUUAUAUAUGGUUUGUGGUUUGAAUGAAAGGGGUCAUUGAUGAUUCCCGAGUUGUAUUUAUA
Molecule: long non-coding RNA, 971 nt
Organism: Beta vulgaris subsp. vulgaris (sugar beet)
Lineage: Eukaryota; Viridiplantae; Streptophyta; Magnoliopsida; Caryophyllales; Amaranthaceae
Exons: 3
Source: RefSeq, a predicted model, not a curated record